GGGCUUAUGGUCUAGGGGUAUGAUUUUCCCUUCGCAUGGGAAAGGUCCGGGGUUCAAUUCCCCGUGAGUCCA
Fusarium proliferatum ET1 is the source of this 72-nucleotide non-coding RNA. The record is from the annotation of a RefSeq genome assembly. NCBI's taxonomy places the organism in Eukaryota, Fungi, Ascomycota, Sordariomycetes, Hypocreales, Nectriaceae.